This 467-nucleotide ribosomal RNA is filed under the name uncultured bacterium. RNAcentral's name for it is "partial 16S ribosomal RNA". It matches the Rfam family "Bacterial small subunit ribosomal RNA", at positions 28 to 506 of the family's 1533-position model. The record is from RNAcentral.
GACGAACGCUGGCGGCGUGCUUAACACAUGCCAGUCGAACGGAAAGGCCCUGCUUUUGUGGGGUGCUCGAGUGGCGAACGGGUGAGUAACACGUGAGUAACCUGCCCUUGACUUUGGGAUAACUUCAGGAAACUGGGGCUAAUACCGGAUAGGAGCUCCUGCUGCAUGGUGGGGGUUGGAAAGUUUCGGCGGUUGGGGAUGGACUCGCGGCUUAUCAGCUUGUUGGUGGGGUAGUGGCUUACCAAGGCUUUGACGGGUAGCCGGCCUGAGAGGGUGACCGGCCACAUUGGGUCGGAGAGACGGCCAAGGCUCCGACGGGGGGAAGGGGGGGGGAAUUUGGCAAAAGGGGCGGAAGCCUGAGGCAGCAACGCCGGGUGCGGGAUGACGGCCUUCGGGUUGUAAACCGUUUUCGCCUGUGACGAAGCGUGAGGGGGGGUAAUGGGUAAAGAAGCACCGGCUAACUCGGU